UGUCCCUAGAAACUGUAAUAGGUAGAUCAUGCCCCAUCAACUUUUAUUUGUUUUUUUGCUUUUUUUGGAUGAGCAUUAUAAAUUUUCUCCCCACUUGGGCUCUCAACGACGGCAAAUUGAAGUGAUUUAUGUCCCUAGAAACAUUGGGAGGUCUUGAGUUCAACUCUCAAUGAAAGCAACCUUUUUUUUGGGAUGAGCAUCACAAUUUUUAUCCCAGUUGAGCUCUCAAUGAAAACAAAUCGAAGUGAUUUAUGUCCCUAGAAACUGUAAUAGGUAGAUCAUGCCCC
This 287-nucleotide long non-coding RNA is filed under the name Hordeum vulgare. Its description in RNAcentral is "long non-coding RNA (HVUL_LNC008507)". Lineage: Eukaryota; Viridiplantae; Streptophyta; Magnoliopsida; Poales; Poaceae. The record is from RNAcentral.